UUACCCACUGUCUAAUUUUCAACUUUUUCUUACUUGUUGUUUCUGUCAAUAUGUUCGUAACCCAUUUUUUAUUUUUUGUUUUAGAUAAACAGCAUCCUGUUUCAUUGGAGAUACCACCAAUGGUCCAAUGUCGGUCGAGUUACGAAUCUCUUGUUCCCCUUUCUUUAAAUACCCUCUGUGUCCUCGUGUACACCCGUGUGUGUGUGGGUGUAUUCAUGAGGACGUCCUUUUUCCCAUCCCCCCUGGUGGAUUCAACUUUUCUGUGGAUGGAGCAGCACUUUGUGGAUGCCUGGCCGUAUUUCACAGGCAUAAAGGUGAUUUGCCCGCGGUAUGGCCUAACGGAACCAGAAUAGGACGCAGACUUGUCACGUUCACACCUAUUUAAUAUGUACAGCAGCUGCAGCUUGAAAGGAGGUGAUGCUGUGUGUGUGUGUUACUCUCUUGUCGGUUACCGACUUUGGCGACCCACUGUGCGAUUACGAGGUAAAGUCUGUCCCGAAGGUGCUAUCAUUUCGUGCACGUCGUAAAAUUUAUUACGUACUAGUUAGUCCUAAUAUGGAUGAAUGAAUUUUUUCUCCUCCCUAAAAUAAAGCAGUCGGGAAAAUCCCUCUGUCUGCUUUCCAGGAAAUUCGUUCAACACCUCAUCAGGAGGUAUAAUAUAAACUCAGCAGCACAUGUUGUUAAUUAUUUAGAUCCUGGAUCAAACAACCGUCAUCUUUGUAGUCCAUACAAUCAAAUUCUAGUAGUACCAUGCAACUUAAUAUUUAGAAUAGUUUUUACCGUGUGGGUGGCCUUCGUAUAUGAUUCAUGAUCAAGUCCGAGAUGUGGCAAAUGUUGAUUAAGAACAAGAAAGAAAGUGCACUAAACACAGUCCAUCCCGAUGCAAACCUGUAGUGGGUGGGUAAAAAAUCAUUGAUGUGAACUGUUGACCUAACAACGAAAUCCCUUGGAUACUACAACAGUGACCAUAUGACCGCUAUCUGGAAACCUAAUGCUCUUGUUGGAUAUGUCGGCAUCUCGGGGAGACCCGCAAUCAUCCGCCAAAACAAAAACUUCAAAGCCCCAUGAAGAUGGUAACUCGGUACUUCUGCUGCAGGUCAUAUCAGGCCUCACUUUCUAAUGUUUUUCUUUUGUUUUUUUUCCGGACGGAGGGAGGGGGAGUUUCAAAUCUGUUCAGUCGUUAACCUUAUCACUUAUAUAGAUGGUCCAGUUCUUUAAGUCGUUGAGCCAAAGAAGACCUCUGAGGACAAACACGGCAGCACUGGAACCCACCAGCAAAUAUUUCUCCGCUGGAAAGAUUCAUCCCACGCUGAAGCCCAGAGGUUUGCGCGCGCUUACCAUCCAGCGGCCUUAUGGGACUGUCUACACCUUUUUGGAGGAGUCAACGAUGGGAGGGAGCUGUUGAACUAUAAAAGGGGAUCUCGUCGGAGUCAACGUGACAGACACCUUCUACCUGUGAUUGGUUGUACCACUCAAAUAGGGUGAACUAUUUCAAUUUCGUGUAAGUUAUUACAUUGAGCUUCGUCCCUUCCGUUUGACAUCAACCAACUUCCUCCGCACCGCAAUUGUUCAGGAUCACUACACUUCAAGCACUUCAACUUCAAAUCAACUCCGAUCCGUG
Long non-coding RNA from Daphnia pulex (common water flea), 1621 nucleotides. RefSeq lists it as uncharacterized. The transcript is spliced from 5 exons. The record is from RefSeq and is a predicted model, not a curated record. NCBI's taxonomy places the organism in Eukaryota, Metazoa, Arthropoda, Branchiopoda, Diplostraca, Daphniidae.